CUGCCCAUCAAAAGCAAGCCUAAAGCAGCCCUUACGAGGCUGAGGUCGCCGGUUCAACUCCGGCCCGGCCCA
This 72-nucleotide transfer RNA is filed under the name Candidatus Bathyarchaeota archaeon. Its description in RNAcentral is "tRNA-Leu". Lineage: Archaea; Thermoproteati; Candidatus Bathyarchaeota. The record is from RNAcentral.